UUAGACACAAUGCUAUUGCACAUUUAAUAAACUGCAAAAGAGUAUGAACAUAACUUUUAUAUGCACUGGGACCAAAACAUUCAUGUGACUUGCUUUAUUGUGAUACUCGCUUUUUUGUAAUGGUCUGGAACCAAACCCGCAAUCUCUCUGAGGUGUGCCUGUCCAAAGCGUGCACAGCAUAGAUUAAUUACAGCGAAAACAUUUGCUUUCAGUAGGAAUGGAUGCUAGUAGAGUAUGGGGGUUAAGAACAACAGGGUGUCGAGGGGCAGCAACGUUGAUUAUUGCCUGCAGGUCCUGGACAGACCUCCAUCCUCGGCCAUUGGGCUUUCUCACAGGUUAUAUUUAAUAGUAUUACAGAGACUAACGCAAGGGCUAAUGAGGCUCUGAGCCUUGGAAUCCUCUUAUGGGCUUUAUACCUUGAAGGGCUUCUUUACUCAUAGGUUAUUGAUUAGUUCUGGGGAGAGGUUUCGAGGGGCCUAUUUGAGUCUUAAUGGGAAGAGUACUGUGGAUUUUGCCAAUAUCAGUUGGAGAUUUUGCCCAUAAGGAGGAUGGUAGCUGACUCAGUAGGGACAAAUGAUCAGCGUCUCCCGAAUCAGCUCCAGGACCGUCAGAGACAAAGCAAAGACAGCGAAGUGUCACUUAAUUCACCUGGUUGGCUAUUUUGACUGUUACUGUGAAAUUCUAGAAUUAUUUCCCAUUUUGGGAGAAAGAAAUUCCAGCAUAUUUGCUGAGCCGUCUUGGCCCAAUAAAUGAAUAGGGGCGGAGAGACUAAGGAGGGAAGUGUGGGUAUCUCUCAGGGGCCUAAACGAAAAGGAACAGGUUCAGAGACAGGACCCUGUUGAGGUUCCUCAGAGACCCCCACUAUUUGGAUCACUUUCGUGCUCUGAGGCAGGGGCUGCUUUACCGCAGUUGAACUGAGAGUGUGGCUCUGGUGCCAAAAGAGAUUCAUUCCCAAUCUGGAGAGUUGUUUUUCUGAGCUGAUGAAGAGGGAGGGUUGGGAAGAACCCCUGUGGUUCCUCAGAGGCCCGUUGGUGGUGGUCAGGAGGGCGUUGGAAAGGCUGGUUAGAGGGCUGAAGGCACUUGAGGCACUUACACUUGUGACAAUCUUUUUCCCAAAGUCCUGGCUUUUUGCAAUAAUAGCAGGAAUUAGGAGGAUUUGGGUUUUACUUAGGGACCUUCAUUUGCUGGAGUUGAAGGUUAAGGGUUUGAGUGGACUUCCUUUCAGUUGAAUAGAGUGCAGAUGAGUUGGUGGCUAAAUUAGCUAAAUCUGGAGUGGACGUGGUUUCCGGUUCAACCCAGGUCCUUUCAUCUAGAAGGGAAGGAUCCCAGUUACGCCUGCUAAUGAACACAGAGUUAAAGGCUACCUGAGUGGAUUUGUUACCAAAGCAAACUUGGGUCUGAUCAUCCAUGGAGUAAAGCCGAUCUCCUGACACCAGUGUGUGAUGAAGGAAAUGGCGGCGUUUAUUGCAGGCGCCAAGCAAGGAGUCCACGCAGCUGGUGCUCAAAAGGCCCGAACUCCCUUAAGUCUUUCAGGGGUCAUCCCUGGGGUCUCUUCGGGUCUUCUCCCACACACAGCUCUGCUGGCAGUUCCAGCGAUGCCCUCAUGCACCCCACCCUGCGCAAUGAGUUACCAGGGAAACGGUGGCAUCUGGAGAAUGCAUGUGCAGGAAGGGCCCAGCAGGCUGCAGCCCCUGGAUGGAUGCAGCCCUCGGAACAGCCGGUGCUGCUCCCACACGUGUUGGUCAGAAACUGCGGUCACCAGGCCGGGCUGCAUCACAGCACCUCGUGUUUAUUGGAAAUCCCCACAUUCUGUGGAAAAUCGAGGGUUUGCCGUCUUUCAACUCAAUUGCUUCGCUAGCGGCCGUCUGGGUUAGAGAUGGUGGGGGCGUGUGGCCCUCAAGGGAGCAGGAGGGAGGCCCUUGUGGCGAAGGGACCCACCGACCGGGCUGCUCCCUGAGUGCAAAGCGGGCACAGGGAGCCUCACCUGUGAGAAAGGACUCGGCACAAGCAGGGUCUCCUGGUCACAGUGUCCUAGCAUCACGGAAGAUGCGAGCAUUGCAGGAAACUCGGUGCAGGGUACCCCGGACCCCUCUGUGCCAUGUGUGAAACUUCACGUGAAAAUAAAAAGGUUUUUC
Molecule: long non-coding RNA, 2135 nt
Organism: Balaenoptera ricei (Rice's whale)
Lineage: Eukaryota; Metazoa; Chordata; Mammalia; Artiodactyla; Balaenopteridae
Exons: 3
Source: RefSeq, a predicted model, not a curated record